UUCAUACUUGUGAAUGAAUGGUUAAGUGUUCUCUAAAGAAUGACUUAAACAAAUUGAAAUCUUCACCGACAUUUGACUAACUCCUUAUUAAUGUUGAUUUAUUUUCAAGUCAUUUACUUAAUGCAAAUCUAAAUUUCAGUACCUUUAUCAUUCAUUGCCAUUUAUAUUUCAUACAAGAUUUUUAUGUUUCAGUCCUUUUCAC
This 202-nucleotide long non-coding RNA is filed under the name Lathyrus oleraceus (garden pea). Its description in RNAcentral is "Pisum sativum (pea) long non-coding RNA (PSAT_LNC014568)". Lineage: Eukaryota; Viridiplantae; Streptophyta; Magnoliopsida; Fabales; Fabaceae. The record is from RNAcentral.